ACCCUCUGGGACAGCCCUCCCCCCACAUGCCCUCGGGGUUUGGGGGGGCAGCGGGAGAGGGGGGACAGCACUAUGGGGGUGCUGUGUGAACCCUAAGUUGUUCCCGAGAGAAGGAAAGAUUUCCCCACUGCAAAAGGUCCCCCCACCCCUGCUCGCACCCCGAAAUAAUGAAGGGAGACAGCAGAGGGCUGGGGCUGGGGAGCUCCAACAUUUGCAAAGAAAAAAAAAAAAAAGACAAAA
Erinaceus europaeus (western European hedgehog) is the source of this 240-nucleotide long non-coding RNA. RefSeq lists it as uncharacterized. NCBI's taxonomy places the organism in Eukaryota, Metazoa, Chordata, Mammalia, Eulipotyphla, Erinaceidae. The transcript has 2 exons. The record is from RefSeq and is a predicted model, not a curated record.